UAUAGGACAGAUAUCUGAGGUAGUUUCUUUACUCAGAGAGUAGUAGGGACGUGGAAAACCCUGCCUGAAACAAUAGUAUACUCACCAACAUCGAGGGCAGAAGGACCUGUCUUGCGCUGUAAUGUUGUGUGUUCGAUGUUCACCGUGAGGAUUUGAAUGGAAACCAAGUUUGCUAGUGUUGAAUAAAAAUGUGCAAUCAAAAGACACAGAGUCCUGACACUAUGUUAUUUCCCCUUUUAAACUUCUCAUGUGUUUGUUAAUUUGUCCAGAUAUGUGGCUCAGAGAAUUCAGUGAGUAAGAGUGGACAGGAGCCUGUCGUUGCAUUUCCCUCUCUGGCCUGCAGUGAAAGAUUACAUUCCUGCCUCAGAUGGAGUCAUUCCUUGCUCAUGAGGAAAGGAGUGUUAUCAUGUUGCUGCUCCUCCUUCUACUUCUGGUCCAUUCCUCACAUAGACUCCUCAUUCUGUUAUCAUGUUGCACCUAAUGUUGGCUCUCAGUUACUUGGAUUGAUUCACCAAUUGAAGUAUUUUUCUAACUGGAUAUGUCAUGGCAUACUUUAACUGGUCUCUGAAAUGUUUCUGCGUCACCACAUAAAUAAGGGCAUUUGUGCAGCAAUUUAAGUUCCUCAGCAUAUAUCCAAUCUGAACAAAGAGAUCAAAAG
Molecule: non-coding RNA, 658 nt
Organism: Chiloscyllium plagiosum (whitespotted bambooshark)
Lineage: Eukaryota; Metazoa; Chordata; Chondrichthyes; Orectolobiformes; Hemiscylliidae
Source: RefSeq, a predicted model, not a curated record